GCGGGGGUUGCCAAGCCAGGUCAAAGGCGCCAGCUUGAGGGGCUGGUCUCUUAGGAGUUCGGGGGUUCAAAUCCCCUCCCCCGCACCA
RNAcentral lists this transfer RNA (88 nucleotides) under Hadarchaeum yellowstonense (SeqCode). RNAcentral describes it as "tRNA-Leu". It matches the Rfam family "tRNA". From Rfam's summary of the family: Transfer RNA (tRNA) molecules are approximately 80 nucleotides in length. Their secondary structure includes four short double-helical elements and three loops (D, anti-codon, and T loops). RNAcentral also lists the same sequence under 1 other name. Lineage: Archaea; Methanobacteriati; Hadarchaeota (SeqCode); Hadarchaeia (SeqCode); Hadarchaeales (SeqCode); Hadarchaeaceae (SeqCode). The record is from RNAcentral.